RNAcentral lists this ribosomal RNA (465 nucleotides) under Vreelandella stevensii. RNAcentral describes it as "partial 16S ribosomal RNA". It matches the Rfam family "Bacterial small subunit ribosomal RNA", at positions 338 to 795 of the family's 1533-position model. Lineage: Bacteria; Pseudomonadati; Pseudomonadota; Gammaproteobacteria; Oceanospirillales; Halomonadaceae. The record is from RNAcentral.
CCUACGGGAGGCAGCAGUGGGGAAUAUUAGACAAUGGGGGCAACCCUGAUCCAGCCAUGCCGCGUGUGUGAAGAAGGCCCUCGGGUUGUAAAGCACUUUCAGUGAGGAAGAACGCCUGGUGGUUAAUACCCAUCAGGAAAGACAUCACUCACAGAAGAAGCACCGGCUAACUCCGUGCCAGCAGCCGCGGUAAUACGGAGGGUGCGAGCGUUAAUCGGAAUUACUGGGCGUAAAGCGCGCGUAGGUGGCUUGAUAAGCCGGUUGUGAAAGCCCCGGGCUCAACCUGGGAACGGCAUCCGGAACUGUCAAGCUAGAGUGCAGGAGAGGAAGGUAGAAUUCCCGGUGUAGCGGUGAAAUGCGUAGAGAUCGGGAGGAAUACCAGUGGCGAAGGCGGCCUUCUGGACUGACACUGACACUGAGGUGCGAAAGCGUGGGUAGCAAACAGGAUUAGAUACCCCAGUAGUC